This 35-nucleotide ribosomal RNA is filed under the name Rhopilema esculentum. RNAcentral's name for it is "partial 5.8S rRNA". The record is from RNAcentral. RNAcentral also lists the same sequence under 1 other name. Lineage: Eukaryota; Metazoa; Cnidaria; Scyphozoa; Rhizostomeae; Rhizostomatidae.
ACAACUUCCAACGGUGGAUCUCUUGGCUCGUGCAU